Molecule: ribosomal RNA, 868 nt
Filed under: uncultured bacterium
Lineage: Bacteria
Description: bacterial SSU rRNA
Rfam family: Bacterial small subunit ribosomal RNA
Source: RNAcentral
UGAUGGGCUUGAGUGCAGGAGAGGGAAGUGGAAUUCUUGGUGUAGCAGUGAAAUGCGUAGAGAUCAAGAGGAACACUCGUGGCGAAAGCGAGCUACUGGACAAUAACUGACGCUGAGGCUCGAAGGCUAGGGUAGCGAAAGGGAUUAGAUACCCCUGUAGUCCUAGCAGUAAACGGUGUGCGCUUGGUGUGAAGGGAUUCGACCCCCCUUGUGCCGGAGCUAACGCGUUAAGCGCACCGCCUGGGAAGCACGGUCGCAAGACUAAAACUCAAAGAAAUUGACGGGGACCCGCACAAGCGGUGGAGUAUGUGGCUUAAUUCGAUGCAACGCGAAGAACCUUACCUAGGCUUGACAUGCAUCUCUAAGCGCGUGAAAGCGCGUGACCCUUCGGGGGAUUUGCACAGGUGCUGCAUGGCCGUCGUCAGCUCGUGUCGUGAGAUGUUGGGUUAAGUCCCGCAACGAGCGCAACCCUUGUGUUUAGUUACCAGCGAGUUAUGUCGGGGACUCUAGACAGACUGCCCAGAUCAACUGGGAGGAAGGUGGGGACGACGUCAGGUCAGUAUGGCCCUUACGCCUAGGGCUGCACACGUACUACGAUGCCCAGCACAAUGAGAACCGAGACCGCGAGGUGGAGGAAAUCUAAAAAACUGGGCUCAGUUCGGAUUGGAGGCUGCAACUCGCCUCCAUGAAGAUGGAAUCGCUAGUAAUGGCGCAUCAGCUACGGCGCCGUGAAUACGUUCCCGGGUCUUGUACACACCGCCCGUCACAUCAUGGAAGCCGGUCGCACCCGAAGUGCUUGCGCCAACCGCAAGGAGGCAGAGCCCUAAGGUGUAGCUGGUAACUGGGAUGAAGUCGUAACAAGGUAACC